Molecule: non-coding RNA, 26 nt
Filed under: Cricetulus griseus (Chinese hamster)
Lineage: Eukaryota; Metazoa; Chordata; Mammalia; Rodentia; Cricetidae
Source: RNAcentral
ACAUACUCAGUAGAGCCAGUGGCGGA